GAUGAACGCUGGCGGCGUGCCUAAUACAUGCAAGUCGAGCGAACAGAUGAGGAGCUUGCUCCUCUGACGUUAGCGGCGGACGGGUGAGUAACACGUGGAUAACCUACCUAUAAGACUGGGAUAACUUCGGGAAACCGGAGCUAAUACCGGAUAAUAUAUUGAACCGCACGGUUCAAUAGUGAAAGACGGUUUUGCUGUCACUUAUAGAUGGAUCCGCGCCGCAUUAGCUAGUUGGUAAGGUAACGGCUUACCAAGGCAACGAUGCGUAGCCGACCUGAGAGGGUGAUCGGCCACACUGGAGCUGAGACACGGUCCAGACUCCUACGGGAGGCAGCAGUAGGGAAUCUUCCGCAAUGGGCGAAAGCCUGACGGAGCAACGCCGCGUGAGUGAUGAAGGUCUUCGGAUCGUAAAACUCUGUUAUUAGGGAAGAACAAAUGUGUAAGUAACUAUGCACGUCUUGACGGUACCUAAUCAGAAAGCCACGGCUAACUACGUG
This 497-nucleotide ribosomal RNA is filed under the name uncultured bacterium. RNAcentral describes it as "partial 16S ribosomal RNA". It matches the Rfam family "Bacterial small subunit ribosomal RNA", at positions 28 to 507 of the family's 1533-position model. The record is from RNAcentral.